This is a long non-coding RNA of Lycium barbarum (goji berry), 771 nucleotides long. RefSeq lists it as uncharacterized. NCBI's taxonomy places the organism in Eukaryota, Viridiplantae, Streptophyta, Magnoliopsida, Solanales, Solanaceae. The record is from RefSeq and is a predicted model, not a curated record. The transcript is spliced from 3 exons.
UUUAGGCCCAAGGUGAGAGGGUGGCCGGCCAUACCUGGUCCAAGCCCACCAAAUUGAUUAAUUUCCAUGUGCCAAAUUAAUAUAAGGGGCCAUAUAUGCAUUAUUUAUUCAUUAGAAACUUCAAGAACCAAGAACAAAACACAAAGAAGAGCAAAAAUAAGGCCAUUUCGGGUUUGGCCAUAGGAAAAUCACCCCUCAAAAUCUUGCCUCUAAAAUUAUUUUCUUGUGGUAUUCCUACUAAUUUAAUGGUCCUUUACAACUUGGUGUAAUUGUUUUGGAAGAAGGAGCACUUAUUUCUUCAAGUUGACAACUUGUUCAAGUGAAGGAGUUUGUAGAAAAAGAUUUUGGACGAAACGGGAAGUGAACUUGGAAAGGCGUAAAGUGCGUAAAAGGUACAGACGACAGGUUUGCUGAUCCACACGUUUAGGAUCCCAUUUCUGCUAUUUUGGGGCGCUCUCUUCUACAGAGCCCAUCUUUUGGUACAGUCUGUCACUGCUAUCUGGAUAUGUACUUUGUUCAGGGUAUGACGGGGCCCUGUCCCGUCUUAUGAUUAUGAUAUGUUCUGUAGAGGUCUGUGGAUACAUCUGUGUGGGUUCUGUACAUAUGUUUAGGAUGUUUUGUUUUAUGAUAGCCUUAUCGGCUUCUGUGUGCCAAGUCUGCUCUUCGGCUAAAUUCUGUAGCAUCCACUAAUGUUAUUAUUAUAUUAUUAUUCUGAUAAUAUGCUAAUUUGGGUAUCGGGUACGUUUGGGUGUCCAGCACGGGCACUAGUCG